This 72-nucleotide transfer RNA is filed under the name Candidatus Woesearchaeota archaeon CG10_big_fil_rev_8_21_14_0_10_32_9. RNAcentral describes it as "tRNA-His". It matches the Rfam family "tRNA". Rfam says of the family: Transfer RNA (tRNA) molecules are approximately 80 nucleotides in length. Their secondary structure includes four short double-helical elements and three loops (D, anti-codon, and T loops). Lineage: Archaea; Nanobdellati; Candidatus Woesearchaeota. The record is from RNAcentral.
GUGGCUGUGGUGUACCGGUUAGCAUCGGGGUCUGUGGAACCCUGGGACCGGGUUCAAUUCCCGGCAGCCGCC